RNAcentral lists this ribosomal RNA (467 nucleotides) under uncultured bacterium. RNAcentral describes it as "partial 16S ribosomal RNA". It matches the Rfam family "Bacterial small subunit ribosomal RNA", at positions 29 to 507 of the family's 1533-position model. The record is from RNAcentral.
ACGCACGCUGGCGGCGUGCUUAACCCCUGCACGUCGAACGGAAAGGCCCUGCUUUUGUGGGGUGCUCGAGUGGCGAACGGGUGAGUAACACGUGAGUAACCUGCCCUUGACUUUGGGAUAACUUCAGGAAACUGGGGCUAAUACCGGAUAGGAGCUCCUGCUGCAUGGUGGGGGUUGGAAAAUUUCGGCGGUUGGGGAUGGACUCGCGGCUUAUCAGCUUGUUGGUGGGGUAGUGGCUUACCAAGGCUUUGACGGGUAGCCGGCCUGAGAGGGUGACCGGCCACAUUGGGACUGAGAUACGGCCCAGACUCCUACGGGAGGCAGCAGUGGGGAAUAUUGCACAAUGGGCGGAAGCCUGAUGCAGCAACGCCGCGUGCGGGAUGACGGCCUUCGGGUUGUAAACCGCUUUCGCCUGUGACGAAGCGUGAGUGACGGUAAUGGGUAAAGAAGCACCGGCUAACUACGUG